GGAGAGGUGUCGGAGCGGUUGAACGAGCUAGUCUUGAAAACUAGUAAGGAGGCAACUCUUUCGGGGGUUCGAAUCCCCCCCUCUCCGCCA
Molecule: transfer RNA, 90 nt
Filed under: Candidatus Roizmanbacteria bacterium
Lineage: Bacteria; Candidatus Roizmaniibacteriota
Description: tRNA-Ser
Rfam family: tRNA
About the family: Transfer RNA (tRNA) molecules are approximately 80 nucleotides in length. Their secondary structure includes four short double-helical elements and three loops (D, anti-codon, and T loops). Further hydrogen bonds mediate the characteristic L-shaped molecular structure. tRNAs have two regions of fundamental functional importance: the anti-codon, which is responsible for specific mRNA codon recognition, and the 3' end, to which the tRNAs corresponding amino acid is attached (by aminoacyl-tRNA synthetases). tRNAs cope with the degeneracy of the genetic code in two manners: having more than one tRNA (with a specific anti-codon) for a particular amino acid; and 'wobble' base-pairing, i.e. permitting non-standard base-pairing at the 3rd anti-codon position.
Source: RNAcentral